GUAAAAUCUGAAUCCGUUGUUAGUAUUAUUUUUCAAAUUAGAACCCAUUCCAAACAUUAUAUACUACCUAUAUCCAUUUUAUUAAUAUUCAAUCAAAUCGGUACCUGCAAAAAAAUCUGAGCCAUUGUUAUUCUUAAUAUAUACUAUCUAAAACUCUAAAAUUAGUGUAUGUACUUGUUAAACUCGAGAGUACCCAUGAAUGCCAACUAGCUAUACCCUAGACAAAAUGUGAUAAAAGAGAUAAGAGUAAUGUUGUCCAACGGAAUUUAUAAGUUUGUACCUUCUAAUGUUAAAUAGAAGAGUAAAAUUUAUAAGUUUGUACCUUCUAAUGUUAAAUAGAAGAGUAA
This 347-nucleotide unclassified non-coding RNA is filed under the name Hevea brasiliensis (rubber tree). The record is from RNAcentral. Lineage: Eukaryota; Viridiplantae; Streptophyta; Magnoliopsida; Malpighiales; Euphorbiaceae.